CCUACGGGUGGCAGCAGUGAGGAAUAUUGGUCAAUGGACGAGAGUCUGAACCAGCCAAGUAGCGUGAAGGAUGACUGCCCUAUGGGUUGUAAACUUCUUUUAUAUGGGAAUAAAAUGUUCCACGUGUGGGAUUUUGUAUGUACCAUAUUAAUAAGGAUCGGCUAACUCCGUGCCAGCAGCCGCGGUAAUACGGAGGAUCCUAGCGUUAUCCGGAUUUAUUGGGUUUAAAGGGAGCGUAGGUGGAUUGUUAAGUCAGUUGUGAAAGUUUGCGGCUCAACCGUAAAAUUGCAGUUGAAACUGGCAGUCGUGAGUACAGUAGAGGUGGGCGGAAUUCGUGGUGUAGCGAUGAAAUGCUUAGAUAUCACGAAGAACUCCGAUUGCGAAGGCAGCUCACUGGACUGCAACUGACACUGAGGCUCGAAAGUGUGGGUAUCAAACAGGAUUAGAUACCCCUGUAGUC
RNAcentral lists this ribosomal RNA (460 nucleotides) under uncultured bacterium. RNAcentral describes it as "partial 16S ribosomal RNA". It matches the Rfam family "Bacterial small subunit ribosomal RNA", at positions 338 to 795 of the family's 1533-position model. The record is from RNAcentral.